UUUUGUUUAAUAACCUCCAAUGACCCCCCUUCCGUUAGGUGAACCUGCGGAGGGAUCAUUACCGAGUUAUCAACUCCCAAACCCCCUGUGAACAUACCUUUUGUUGCCUCGGCGGGAUCGCCCCGGCGCCUCCGGGCCCGGACCCAGGCGCCCGCCGCAGGACCCCAAACUCUUGUUUUCUAUAUGAAUCUUCUGAGUGACACAAGCAAAUAAAUUAAAACUUUCAACAACGGAUCUCUUGGUUCUGGCAUCGAUGAAGAACGCAGCGAAAUGCGAUAAGUAAUGUGAAUUGCAGAAUUCAGUGAAUCAUCGAAUCUUUGAACGCACAUUGCGCCCGGCAGUAUUCUGCCGGGCAUGCCUGUUCGAGCGUCAUUUCAACCCUCAAGCCCCCGGGCUUGGUGUUGGAGAUCGGCCCGCCCCCGUGGCAGGCCGGCUCCGAAAUUCAGUGGCGGUCCCGCUGUAACUUCCUCUGCGUAGUAGCAAUAUCUCGCACCGGAAAGCGACGGAGCCUUGCCGUAAAACCCCCAACUUUGAAGGUGACUCGAUCAGUAGAAACCCGCUGA
RNAcentral lists this ribosomal RNA (563 nucleotides) under fungal sp. ASR-294. RNAcentral describes it as "eukaryotic LSU rRNA". The stretch from base 219 to 372 matches the Rfam family "5.8S ribosomal RNA". Lineage: Eukaryota; Fungi. The record is from RNAcentral.